CACGUCUGUCCCGGAAGUGAUGUUAGGCAGGGUGUCUGUGGCUGCCAGCUGCUGGGAAAGGCCUGGGGCUGAACGGUUUUAUCGGGAGCCACGGUGAGUGGGACAGAACGGGGGGAGUGCGGACACUGCUUUAACACAGGAGCAGCCAUGGUGGGAGAGGAAAGUGUCAGGGCUGUAAACCUCCUGUACCCCACCCUUAUAACAACAUGCAGCCUCUCAAAGAGCUGCCCCCUAACCACAAACCAUAACCACUGCAUGGGUACAGACAGGGGACCCACCCCCUAACCACAAACCAUAACCACUGCAUCUGUACAGACAGGGGACCCACCCCCUAACCACAAACCAUAACCACUGCAUGGGUACAGACAGGGGACCCACCCACUAACCAUAACCACUGCAUGGGUACAGACAAGGGACCCACCCCCUAACCACAAACCAUAACCACUGCAUGGGUACAGACAGGGGACCCACCCACAAACCAUAACCACUGCAUCUGUACAGACAGGGGACCCACCCCCUAACCACAAACCAUAACCACUGCGUGUGUACAGACAGGGGACCCACCCUCUAACCACAAACCAUAACCACUGCGUGGGUACAGACAGGGGACCCACCCACUAACCAUAACCACUGCGUGGGUACAGACAGGGGACCCACCCACUAACCAUAACCACUGCAUGGGUACAGACAGGGGACCCACCCCCUAACCACAAACCAUAACCACUGCAUGGGUACAGACAGGGGACCCACCCUCUAACCACAAACCAUAACCACUGCAUGGGUACAGACAGGGGACCCACCCUCUAACCACAAACCAUAACCACUGCAUGGGUACAGACAGGGGACCCCCCCUUACCACAAACCAUAACCACUGUGUGGGUACAGACAGGGGAUCCCUCCCUGACCACAAACCACAACCACUGUGUGGGUACAGACAGGGGAUACUCUCAACCACACACCACAACCACUAUGUGGGUACAGACAGGGGAUCCCCCCAACCACACACCACAACCACUGUGUGGGUACAGACGGGGGACAUCAGUGUUGUCAUAAUGUUUAUGAAGUGUGACAUGGCACCAUGUACAGGGGCAUGACUGUCAAAACUUUAUAGAAUGUUCUUAUUACCUUGCUAACUUUGUCACUGUCCUGAGAUAAAUGUGUAUUAACUACAGUAUUCUUACAAGUGGCAGCAGUGCUCUGAUGCUUUCUUUGAAUACAGGCCAGUCAAAGUCUAUUUACAUUAUGUAUUUACAUUCUUAUGUUGAUGUUUGCUUUUGCAAGCAUCAUAUUGCAGUUUCCAACCGAUUCAGUUCUCCCCUUCAGACUGCUGUAUGGCAUUGUGUAAAUACACAAGGUUGGUUUUGUGUUGUAUUAUGAAACAGGAAUAUGUGGUCAUUACUUUUAACAGUUACACGUAAAUACAUCGACUCAGCAUCUGAAGUAAAGUUUAAACUGAGGCUAUUUCUUUCUUAAACUGAGGCUGUUUUAUUCUGUGCUAAACCAAGCUGAGUUGCUUGUAACUGCUGUUUAUGUACAUCUCUGUGCAAUGAGUGACAAGCCAACUUAUUAGGUGUGAUAUUGGAUGCUUUACUGUGCCCAAGAGUUUGCUAUAGCUCAGUAAAAAAAGCACGGUUACAAAUAUAAUAAAUUUGAUAAAUCACUGAUAUCACUAAUUAGAUGCAGGAUACACUGAUUGUCACAUCCAGUUCUCAUAUGAGGACCCAUAUGACAUGGACAUUUAUGUAGCAUUAUCUGAUAUUUUACUGAUUGAGCCCAGUAAAUAUUGCAGCUAUGUUCCUUUAGUCUUAAAGGGUUACUUCAACCAAUAUAAGUGUUUUCAUAAGACAUUGAUUUUUGGUUAGAGUAACCUUUUUCUGAGGUGAUCUCCCCCACAACUUAAAACAAGAAAUCCCACAAAUAUGAGAUAUACAGAGUCCGUCACCAAGUCUUAGUUCUUCCCUCAGCCCAACUGUCCUUGGCUGACGUUCAUGGAGUAACCCUUUAAUGGAAUUUUCAACAAACAUUAGACUCUGUUUGUGAACAGAAGCAGAGACAGUAAUUCACAGCCAAUGUUUACUAAUCUAAUGAUUAGUCUUAAAUAUUGACUGUGCUUUCUCUGCAGUAAAAAUUCUCCUUGGUUAGUUGAGACCAAAGCUAGUUUCCUUUCUUGCUGUCUGGAAAACGGCUUUGGAUUUGGCGGUGGUUGCUGAACUCUGGGGUACUCACUUUUCUGUCUGGCUGAUUUCCUUUGAUUUAAGGCUUACUAUAAGUUUCAAAGGUCUGCCGUUUUAAAGAAGUUGAUACUCGCUAGUCUUAAAUGUCUAUAGUACAUUUUAUGUUUAAGAUCCCAAUUGACUGAGACUAAAAAUGUAGCUGAUGUUGUGUCUUUUCCGAUUUGAUUUACCAAAGGGUGGAUUUAAAUAAUAUAAACUUCAAUAAGGCAUCCGUCAUUUGAUACAAGUGAUUUUACACUAGUUUGGACAUGACUCUUGCUUUUUCAACCUGUUUUGGUGAACUUGUUGAAAAAUAAUGGGGAGCAUCCAUGACUGUUCUCACAAAAAAAGUGACUUAGUGUAACCAUUCAAAAGUUGAUAAAAGCCAGCAAGCGGAGCUUCAGUACCUAGACCGGCGCACCGCAGGAAUCAAGGUAAGUAAACUCACCUUUUAAAUGUUCACAGGAGCAGGGGGAAGUUGCAACCUAUAGGAAAUGGAACACUAUAUUGUUACACAUUUACAUUUCUAUUUCUAACACUGUAGUGUUUGUUUUAAAUGCAUGCAUGUUUUCAUUUGGGGUAUAUCUACUAAACAGUGGUCUUUAUACUCCUGGGCUUUUGUUUGCAAAGGGUAUGUGUUUAUUGGGAAAUUUAAAUUCCUAACCUGAUAAAAGAGGCUCCCUGCAUGGUCAUGAUGGCUGGCGGGUUGGCCAGUCUGUCAGUGGGCAGGCCUGUGACACUGCACAUCCCAUACCAAUUCCAUAUCUCAUUGUUGUGAGCUAUAACGCUCUAUAAAUGCUACCAACCACUAACAGUCUGCAAAUACAAAGGGCUAAAUAAUCGAAAAUUGAAUUAAAUACAUUCUCUCAUAUAUAACGUAACAGUGCUGUUUUCACUUUAAUAUCAUUUGUAACUUGCUUUGUGAGCAGAUGUUAAGAUUCUUGUAUCCUUCUCUUUACAGUUGUGGUUACAUAGUUAACCACAAGCAGUGAAAGUGGUGAUGAAAAAAAAAAAAAAACUUUCUCCAAAAAGUAAAUAAACUAAUAGAUUAAAAUGUGUCUGCCCUUACUGUUGUCAGUCACUUUAAGGAUAACCCUUUUUAAAAUAUAAAGAUAAUAUUUUAUAGCCUUCAUUUGCUUUGAAAAAGCAAUUUUAUGUAAUGCUACAUGUAUAAUUUCUGGUUAGAAUAAAACUAGAUUUGACAAAUAUUGAUGUAAUACUUUUCCCCCCCGAGUCAUCUGCUGAUGUGAAACAAACCAUUAAAUAUGUCUGUAAAAUGAUUAUGGCUAGAAAAUACUCAUUUGAUGUGUAACUGUUUCUUUGUUUUAUGGUUUAAUUUUCAGCGGGUUAGAGAAGACACAAUGAAUGCAAUAACCUAGCACUUCACCCCCUUGAGGGAUACAAUAGGAUGGAGAAGCAAAUACAAGGUGGCAUUGAAAAGAGUGCCUCUUCACAACAUUGCAAUGAAGGCAUGGAAGAAAGGAAUGGUACAUAUUUCUCUGUGCCAGGAAAUUGUUAUUCUGCAAAACACAAUUUGAAAGCCAGUUCAGAACAAAAUGGCACAGGACUGACCACAGGGAGAUUUGGUAAUCACACCUUUUUUGUGCCGAAGCACACAGACUUCCCAAAUUUAAACCUUGGCAAGGAACAGCAAACACACGAGCACUUUGUGAAGGAAGAUGAUGUAUGGACUAAGGAAUUCCUUUCAGAAGAGAGACUUGAAAAUGUUUUAGCAUCUGAGUUAAAUGAUAGGUUUGAAUGCCAACUAAUGCCAGAGACUACACAGUGUACUCACAGUGAGUCACUACCACCCUUUAAACUCGAAUGUGGAUGUGUCACUGAUAAUACAGGUUCAUCUGGUGGCACUUACUCUGACAUUGCUGACCACUCUUGUAGGAGAGGUUGUCAUCCAUUUUCUUCAUAUCAGCAACGUCCAUUGGAUGGGGAAGGGGUUGAAGAUGGAGUGCUUGGGAAGCAAAUGGAAGCUGAUGAGGAUUCUAUCAAGGUAGCAGGUGGAAGGAGGGGAGCUCGUAAAGGGAGAACACGUGUUAAUCUCAAAGAGGACUCUAGAAGGGAUGGCCGGCAACAUACAUUCUCUGGUAGCAAGCAUAAGCUAGGUCGAAAGAAAAGCCAUGGUGAUGGGAGGUCUAUUCUGAAAUCCAUAAUUCCUCAACCCUUAAUUCUGCUUUCAACUACCUGUGUCCAGUUACUUAUUGAUUUGGUGCUCCUGAUUGGGAAGUAUGUAGAGAUGUUUGGCACGCGACUAUAUACUUCAGUAUUGCUGCCAGCUAGUGACCUAGGCCUUUUGAAAAUCCAGCUGCAAACAUUUGGGGUCUGGGCACGCCAUCGUGUAAAGGACUCUUGGCAUAUGAUUUGCUCAUUUGGAUUAUGGCUUUUGCGUGUUCUGAAAAUGCUAUGUGCUCUACUCUUCCUGCUUUUAAUGCUUGCUGUGGGUUGUGCCAGACUUUGUUGGCAAUACAUUAAGAGAGCUGCUGAACGAGUAGGAGGACAUAACAACUGUGCAUCUUGUAUCUCCGUAAGAUUACGCAGGAUAUGGGCCUUAAUAACACAAAACAGGACCUUUAGCCGUUUAGUUAGCCCUCUCAGGAAAUUGAAAUCAAGAUUAUGGAGGUUAAGGGUGGAAAAAGAAACAUCAUGGGCCACAGCAGGAUCUCCAACCACAGGUCGGUAUCAGCCUGGGGAGGAAGUGGAACGUCUAUUAACAAUGGCGGACAUUCCAGAGGAGGAGUUAAACCCAUUUCAGGUGUUGGGUGUAGAAAUUAAUGCUUCUGAAACCGAGCUUAAAAAGGCAUAUCGGCAGCUGGCUGUUUUGGUAGGUAACAUGUUUUUCCAUGAAAGCAGAUCUGUUUUUAGUUUUUGUAAAAUUCUUCUCGCAACCUGUCUCCUUUUUGUCACAACUUGAGCCAUCAGAUUACUCAGCAGAGGAAGUGCUGGCAGGAAAAUUAAACUUUAGGAAAAAAGUAAAUAAAUUUUACACAAUUUAAAUGAUGAUACACAUCAGGAAAAUGAAACACAGCCAUAAUGUAAGGGGAGAAUUUUAUUAUGAAAAAAGUAAUGACCUUACAAUUCCAUGAGCUUCUCUAUCUUCUUCUGUGUUCUACUGAAACAUGAGUCUUAAAGGUAUCUCCUGCAUGAUUAUCAAAGUCAUAAAUUAGAAUAAAGGGAAAAACUCUGCUUUAAUUAUUGUUGCUAGUUAUCACAUCACCCACAAUGAAAACCAGUAAUCCCAUCUAAAACUUAACCUGGCUUAGUCAUUUUUACUUUAUUUUUUUUGUAUACAUUUUUAUUUUAAGCUUUAAAUAAAUGCUGUGCAUGCGCCUUUCAGGUAGUUACUCAGUCAUGACUUUUUGAGUGUGUGUAUGUAUGUGUAUACACAAUGUGAAUUACCACAUGAUGCCUUUUCCUACUUAGUCCAUAUUAAGCAUUUAUUUAAGGGUUUGAAAAUGCAGACUGCUUAUAUUGGUGGAUUUGUUAUAUUCAUUUUUUUUUUUUUUUUCCUCCUGCCUUUAUCUCCAUAGGUCCACCCAGACAAAAAUAAUCAUCCUCGUGCAGAAGAAGCUUUCAAAAUAUUGCGUGCUGCAUGGGACACAGUAAGCAAUCCUGAGAAACGCAGAGAGUAUGAAAUGUAAGAAUUGAUAUGGUAACACAAAGUUUGAGAAAUAAAGUAAGACUUAAUCUCUUUCAAAGCAAAUACAUCUCAAUAUCGUACAAUUACUCUUUAGACCAGGGGUGCCUAAAAGCUAGACCCCCAGAUGUUUUAAAACUACAGCUCCCAUGAUACCUUGUUAUUCUAAAGUGCAUACAAAGAAUCUUGGGAAUUGAUUCCACCACAUCUGGGGAUAUACCUUUUGGGUACCCUUGCUUUAGACACUACUCACUGUCAAAUGAACAAUCCAAGCACCAUAACCAGUACAACCUCUUGUAGCGAUUAUGGUGCCAGGAAUUCACUGGCAACAUCCCACAGUAAGAUGCCAGACCAUUUUAGCAUGGUUUCACAAUUUACCUGAGUACCACCAAGUGUCCAGUCCUCAUCUCGUCUUCUCAAACAGGACAGAACAAACGGGAUGUUAUUGUAGAGCAGUGCAGGGAUGCAGUCAUUGGCUUAAAGCAUCAGCUGAGUUCUAUCUUUCCUGCUCUGCUCUAAAGAGACAUCUGGCUUCUCCUGAUGGAAAAGACAGGAUGCUAUGCAGGCUCCUGGCAGAACCCAUGUCAGCUGGGCACUCCAGGGAUUAUAACCCUUGCUGUGGGCUAUAACCGUUAUGGUGUUUGGAGUGUCCAUUUAACGAAUUUCCCCAAGCAUAAUUCUUAAGAAGAUAAUCCACUUACAGGCCGUUACAAAGUCGAUCGUAACGACUUUGUUAGGACUCCAUUAUCAUGAUUGAUUGAAGAGCAUUUGUUGAUAUGACCUGAUAAGCAAGCAUUAUGAGGUAUCAUGAUCUGUGUAUGUUUUGUACACAACACACAAAAGAUCCUACAAACAAGAUGAGGAAUGAAAAAUUAUCCAACUACACACACUGCAUGUAGAAAUCACAGCUGUACAUUUGACUUUGCCACUUGAAUAACUUUGCAUACUUCACAUUGAUCAGUGAAGCAUCACCGAUAACAAUCACAGAUUUGUGGAUUAAUGAAGAAGUCCAGGUUUUGAAUGUAAAACCAUUAAUAUUAAAAUCGUAGUUGUUCAGUUUGCUUGGCUGGCUGCCUCAAAAUGAGAAAGGUCCUUCCGACUUUUGCUUUCAUGUAUAAACACAUCCAUCACUGUCUCAACAAGCAUUAUUUGUCUUCACUGUUGCAUCUCCUUCAAUUUUAGGAAGCGAAUGUCAGAAACAGAGCUGGCUAAGUCCAUGAAUGAGUUCCUUACCAAGCUGCAGGAUGACCUAAAGGAAGCUAUGAAUAGCAUGAUGUGCAGCAAGUGUCAGGGGAAACACAGGUACAAUGUAGUCUUUUAUCUGAAAAUGCAAUUCCACUGAUCAGAAUGUGCCUAUUUCAUGAGGAUCUGAAAGUACUUGCCAAGCAGGGUUCUUAUCAACUAUCUGGAAUUCAAAGUGUUAAGAAUAUGGAAUGGUCAGUCCUAUUGAGACUGUAGUAACCUAAUUACAAGUCCUAUUGAGACUGUAGUAACCUGGUCACCAGUCCUUUCUUAUUAAGGCUGUAGUAACUUGGUUUACUCCCCUCUGCCAACCUUGGACACUCCUCGCCACUAAUGUUGUACUCCCCCCUUCUUUUUUACAUUCAGCUCAGCCAGAGUUUUAAUGCAAUGUCCAGUUGUGCUCUCUUGUGGAUGCUGCAUGACUGAAGUAGUGAUUGUUCUUCAUAUUGUUGGCAUGGCCUUGAUCUGGGAGUAAAGUGUUCUUUCCCAGUUAUGUCAUAUUAAUUUUGUCUGAACUAUAUUUGUCUGAUGUAUCUCACACAGACACCUAAUAUAAAGAAUACUAAAAACAAAAAGUAAUAUGAAAUGGGCCUAGAGUCAUAAAUAUUGUUGUUUCAAAAGUGUCUACUUCAUGUAUUGGCUUGGAAAUAAUUUCUUGAAAAACCCCCAAAAUAAAACAUUAAAAAGCUGCAUAAUAGCAUUGAUUUUCUCUUACUUGAGUCAAGGUUAAUGAUCGAUCUAUAACACAUUGCCAUGUAUCAUAAUACUCCAAUUCAACAUCUCCCAAAAUGUUGAAUUCCCCUUCACUUCACCUUAAAACCUUUGCAUUAAAACUUGAAUCCAGGUUUUACCAAUCUUCAUAUGUACAGUCUGCAUUUAACCAGAUUUCCUACAUCAUGGGUCAACAGCCACUGAUGGAUACUGCCCAGUUGCCACAUCCCACCUCCAUGACAUGUGAAUAAUCACUCUACUAUAUUCCUUUUCCUUGGAAAAUUUGACAUUUGUAAACAUGGUAAAACGUUGCUUCUUGUAUGAUUAAACAAUCCUGUUUUAAUUAACAGGAGAUUUGAAAUGGAUCGGGAUCCUACAAAUGCACGUUAUUGUGCAGAGUGUGGGAAGAUGCAUCCUGCUGAAGAGGGCGACUUUUGGGCUGAAUCCAGUAUGCUUGGACUGAAAAUAACCUAUUUUGCCAUGAUGCAAGGAAAGGUGUUUGACAUAACUGGUAAGAAAUAGCCAUUGAAGCUGUGUUUGCACACAUAGCUAUGUUCUAAAGGGUCACUCCAGCCACCAUGACCACUUCUACUUUUAGAGAUGCUCAUGUUGGUAGGAGUCUGGAUAUGCAGUGAUUCAGUUUGAAACACUGCACAUAAACUGUUAUUGGCACUUGUGUGUCGGGGGCAAGUUGCUGCCAAGACCUCUAUUCCAGGCUGUGUAAUGUCAGUUCUGCGCAUAUUUCACAUCUGAUGUCAGUGUGUGCUUGCAACGAACGUUAUCAGUUUCUCCAUUGCAGACAGUGUGUCUCUCCCUCCCUUCUUGUCUAUAGCCCUGACACCUCUCUAUAGAAAUAAAAAUGGUGCAGCACUCUUCAAUGUUUAGAAGUUCCCUUUCUUGUGCACUCACAGCAGCUAUUUUAUCAAGCCAUAAAGUGAAAUCAAACUUGGUGCAGUUAAAUAGCAGUGCAAAUCAGUCAUGUGCUAGUCAUAUGACCUCAGAGAAACAAGUAUAGAAUGUCUGCAAUAUGCAAAUAUAAUGUGACGGUACAUAUAGUUUGUAAAGGUGCACAUGAUUCAGUAUUAACCAGUAUCUACAAUGUGUAAUAAUUAAAAUAAAGAUAAGUUUGUAUAAUAAAACGUAUUAUCCUAAAACAAUUUAGUAAUUCUUAAUGCAGCACAUAUUUUUUAUUACUACAUGAUGUGCAGGGUAAAGCUGGUAUCUUAGAUACUUAACAAAACUGGUAUUUUGACUGAUCUGUGGGGUCAUAUCUAAAGAUCUGUCAGUCACUUGUUUUAUUGUUCUUAUUUUGCUAUAGAAUGGGCAGGAUGUCAGCGGGUGGGUAUUUCUCCUGACACUCACCGUGUUCCAUAUCACAUCUCAUUUGGCUCAAGGAAUCCCACAAGUACAGGACGACAAAGGUAUAGAUUGAUAAUUUCAUGCUGUUUAUUGAAAGGGAUGACUUGAAAUUGAUGUAAAGUCCCUCCAUGCCCCUAAAAACCCUAAUGUAAUUCUCAUAAUGGGUAGGUUUUUACCUUUAUUUUCUUUCUACUAAGUGUAUUCCUUAAGGCAUGAAAGUUUAAUUAAGGGAAUGGUAAAGCCAUCCAGAUUAAACAGUUUUACUUUUUAAGUGGAUACACCAUAUAAAAAGUUUGUGCUUUUAAAUGGGGGCCGUCACUCCUCUAGAACAUUAUAUCCUUGAAUAAACCUUUACCUUGUCUUAAUUUUUUAUUUUUAUAUAUUUAUAUUGUGUUGCUCACUUUUAUUUUAAAUGUAUACUAAAGGGAGACUCUUAAGCACCCUAAUGAAUGAUCAAUCAUGCCCCUGCGGUCUUGAUGCUCAAUUUGCAGCCAUUAAGGAGUCAAAUAAUCUUGUUUCUGCAGCCUUGACCAAGCUUCUCUUUUGAAGUAACACACAGCCUACCUAUUCUGUUUCUUUAAAAAAAUUUGAUUUUUAAACUUCCUUUAUUGCACAAUAAUCUAGAAUGUUAUGUCUCCUGCCCUGACAAUUGCCUACUGGUACCUACUGCAGCCUCCUCUGUGUGAUUUAAAGUGUAAUUUACAGAGCGGGAGAUAAGACAUUCUAAAAGUAAAUACACUGUGUUGUAAAAAUGAAAAAAAAAUUUUUUUUUUUUUUUUUCUUGAAGGCUGUGUGAGUUGUCAUCAUGUGAGGUGUGACUAUGUCUGCAUAAACAAAAUGAUUUAAAGGGACACUAUAGUCACCUGAACAACUUUAGCUUAAUGAAGCAGUUUUGGUGUAUAGAACAUGCCCCUGCAGCCUCACUGCUCAAUCCUCUGCCAUUUAGGAGUUAAAUCCCUUUGUUUAUGAACCCUAGUCACACCUCCCUGCAUGUGACUUGCACAGCCUUCCAUAAACACUUCCUGUAAAGAGAGCCCUAUUUAGGCUUUCUUUAUUGCAAGUUCUGUUUAAUUAAGAUUUUCUUAUCCCCUGCUAUGUUAAUAGCUUGCUAGACCUGAAAGAGCCUCCUGUAUGUGAUUAAAGUUCAAUUUAGAGAUUGAGAUACAAUUAUUUAAGGUAAAUUACAUCUGUUUGAAAGUGAAACCAGUUUUUUUUUUUUCAUGCAGCUCUGUCAAUCAUAGCCAGGGGAGGUGUGGCUAGGGCUGCAUAAACAGAAACAAAGUGAUUUAACUCCUAAAUGACAGUGAAUUGAGCAGUGAAAUAGCAGGGGAAUGAUCUAUGCACUAAAACUGCUUUAUUUAGCUAAAGUAAUUUAGGUGACUAUAGUGUUCCUUUAACUCCUAAAUGGCAAGAACAUGAUCUAUACACUAAAACUGCUUCAUUGAGCUAACGUUGUUUUGGUGCUUUGAGUAUUCGUUUAAAGACUAAGCAAUUGACAAAAAAAACCUGGUCCAGUCACAGCAAGAGCACACAUUGCAUCGGAGGAGGACAAACAAACUAUUUGUGUCCUACAUUUGUUAAAUGUAGGGGAUGCAUAACACCGCAAAUGUGAUGGCACCACUUGUAUUAUUGGUCUCUUCCAAUCUUCUAACAUUAUUUGAUCUGGCAUUUGCUUGCUGUUAUGUAUCCACACUCUAUUAUUGUAAAGCAUCGCAAAAUAUGUUGGCAAUAUAGAAAUAAGGAUUAUAGUAAUGUAUAUUUUAGUUGUCUAUAAUUGUGAUGGUUCAGGCACUUGCCAUUGUUUUGAGCAUGCAUAAUUAAAGUCUAUUUGCUUAGGGCCUGUUUUACGGGUGUGUAAUUGCACUAGCAGGGACUGAACUAGUGCAGUGGGGUGCAACCUCUAUGAUGUCAAAUUGGUGUGUUAUGAUGCAUCUUUAAGGGUGCCUUAACAAGUUUAAGGAGACAUGACUUUCACACUCUGCUGAUCAGUGCCCACUUAUGGACAAUUGUCAUGUCACCAUUAGGCAGCAUGUGCACAGUGCCUGGCAUUUGUAAGGCACAAAUUUACUGUUGGAGCUUUUUGAGUUUAACAGAGUGUCUUUCUUUCUGUGAGGGUGCAAGAAUAUCAGAGUUUAUGUGGGAGCAUUUGUGAUUGUUUUGUUUGUUUCUGAGGGUGCCAGUAAGAAUGUGUCUAAGUGCAUUUUUUCCCCCGAGUGUUUGACUUUAAUAAGGACUGUGUAUUACUGCCUUUGAGAGCUCUCUCUGCCUGGUUUUGGUUUUUAGUUUAUUUUUGAAUGGUAAAUAAACAGUUUUAAAAACAAAAUAAUCAAACCCUUCUAAAUAGAUACACUGUUGUAGGUUGAGCUUUCCCCAUUUUAAAUAUGUACAAAAGGAGCCACGAUUAUGAAUCUGUGGGUUAUUAUUGUUUCUUUCGGAUAUGACACUGGAAGACAAUGGUUCUCCUGAAUGCUAAUGGUCACUUAGCAUAGCAAAAUAAUCCACUGUCUGAGAGGUGAUCUGGGCAUAUGGUAGAUUAGAAACAUAGAAUGUGACGGCAGAUAAGAACCAUUCGGCCCAUCUAGUCUGCUCAAUUUUCUAAAUACCUUAUCUUAUAGUUAGGAUAGCUUUAUGCCUAUCCCACGUAUGCUUAAACUCCUUUACUGUGUUAACCUCCACCACUUCAGUUGGAAGGCUAUUCCAUGCAUCCACUACCCUCUCAGUAAAGUAAUACUUCCUGAUAUUAUUUUUAAACCUUUGCCCCUCUAAUUUAAGACUGUCCUCUUGUUGUGGUAGUUUUUCGUCUUUUAAAUAUGGUCUCCUUUACUGUGUUGAUUCCCUUUAUGUAUUUAAAUGUUUCUUUCAUAUCCCCCCUGUCUCGUCUAUCCUCCAAGCUAUACAUGUUAAGAUCCUUUAACCUUUCCUGGUAAGUUUUAUCUUGCAAUCCAUGAACCAGUUUAGUAGCCCUUCUCUGAACUCUCUCUAAGGUAUCAAUAUCCUUCUGAAGAUACAGUCUCCAGUACUGCGUACCAUACUCCAAGUUAGGUCUCACCAGUGUUCUGUACAAUGGCAUAAGCACUUCCCUCUUUCUACUGCUAAUGCCUCUCCCUAUACAACCAAGCAUUCUGCUAGCAUUUCCUGCUGCUCUAUUACAUUGUCUGCCUACCUUUAAGUCAUCAGAAAUAAUCACCCCUAAAUCCCUUUCCUCAGAUGUUGAGGUUAGGACUCUAUCAAAUAUUCUGUACUCUGCCCUUGGGUUUUUACGUCCAAGAUGCAUUAUCUUGCAUUUAUCCACAUUAAAUGUCAGUUGCCACAAUUCUGACCAUUUUUCUAGUUUACCUAAAUCAUUUGUCAUUUGGCUUAUCCCUCCUGGAACAUCAACCUUGUUACAUAUCUUAGUAUCAUCAGCAAAAAGACAUACCUUACCAUCAAGACCUUCUGCAAUAUCACUAAUAAAAAUAUUAAAGAUAAUGGGUCCAAAUACAGAUCCCUGAGGUACCCCACUGGUGACAAGCCCAAGCUUCGAAUAUACUCCAUUGACUACAACCCUCUGUUGCCUGUCACUCAGCCACUGCCUUACCCAUUCAACAAUAUUGGAAUCCAAACUUAAAGAUUGCAGUUUAUUGAUAAGCCUUCUAUGUGCAACAGUGUCAAAAGCCUUACUGAAAUCUAGGUAAGCAAUGUCUACUGCACCACCCUGAUCUAUUAUUUUAGUUACCCAAUCAAAAAAAUCAAUAAGAUUACUUUGGCAGGAUCUCCCUGAAGUAAACCAAUGUUGUCUCUGAUCUUGAAAUCCAUGUGUUUUUAGAUGUUUAACAAUCCUAUUCUUUAACAUGGUUUCCAUUACUUUCCACACUACUGAAGUAAGGCUUACUGGCCUAUAGUUGCUCGACUCCUCCCUACUACCUUUCUUGUGAAUGGGCACAACAUUCUGACUUCCAAUCUUCUGGGACUACUCCUGUUAACAAUGAUUGGUUAAAUAAAUCUGUUAAUGGUUUUGCUAGUACACCACUAAGCUCUUUUAAUAGCUUUGGGUGUAUUCCAUCAGGUCCCAUUGACUUAUUUGUCUUUACUUUUGACAGUUGAAAUAGAACCUCUUCCUCUGUAAACUCACAUGUAAUAUGACUCAUUUGCCCUUUUUCCUAACUGAGGUCCCUUUCCUUCAUUUUCAUUAGCCAGUUUAUAUAAGCUAGAUUUGGAGAGAACUCAUGUGUAACAUUUCACACCUUGCAAAUGAGCUCUGUAAUCAGUUUCAGAACAGGAAUCCAUGUUGUAAUCCUUCUGACAUCUAUCAUAUUUCUAUACAAUUGCAUUUAACCCUCCUUGUGCUGAAAUUGACAAUACUGGCUCUACCAGGCAGCCGAUCCAUGUAUUCGAUACACAAAUCCCAUUAAAUAGCAAUAUUCUAUAGUGCAACAAUGAAUUAUGCACCCUUGACAUGACAUGCUUUACUUCAGAUCAAGCCAUUCAGUUUGCAAAGAAAAAGAAUCUGCAAGAAAACUUUACUUAAAUCAUGUAUUGAAGUAAAAAUAAAAUGUAUUUUUUUUUCUCCUGUACAUAAUCUAUCUUAAUCAUGUUAAUGUUUUGAAUGUGGAAAAUUCCUGGGCAAAGUUCUGAAAUGGUGUAAUCAGCAGAUGGUGAAAAUGACCUAUUAAUUUCUUUUCGCAGGGCUCCAUCAGAAAACGGUCCAUCUUCUGUUGCUGAUCUUCAAAACCUCUUGAGCAGAAUAUUCCAAGGAUCUCCGGGUCAAAUGCCUAAUAGGAAUGUUUUCAAUACCCCACAGGGAGCUCAAUCUCCGUCAGGACCAGUUAAACCAGACAGUGCUCCAAGAAGUGACACAAAGGCCAAGCGGAAAAAGAAAGUUAGACGUCCUCUUCAAAAAUGAACCAGAACAUCGACGUACGACCAUUUGCUUACCAGAUAGGUGCAUUACAUUUGACCUACAUAGACGGGGUUAAAAUGUUUGCCCACAAAAGCUAAAGUUGGAUGGCCAUGACCUCUCUCUACCUUGAUUAACCAAUACUGCAGAUGUCCCCAUGUCCCUGACCAUCCUGGACUGUAUUCAAUUUGGCCUGAGCCAAGCUGCCAAGGGCUUAAAACAAAUUUCAAGUCUGUUGACUUCUUUGUAUUUUUACUUUCCUGGAUGCCUAGAUUUGUGACACCUUGUUUCAACCCCAUGUAUAAUAAUUUUAUGGGAUUUUUUUACUGACUGCAAAGAUUUCCUUUUUGUUUUCUUCCUCUAAAAGUGAACAUGUCUUCUCAUCAUACCAAAGAUACCUGGUGUACACAACUUUCUGGGUAUAGGACAAAUACUUCUGUGCAUGUAAUUUGUGAGACCAGGUUAUUGCAGACAGGGAAUGGAUACAUCCUUGAAUGUAUAAAUUACUUGUACAUAAACACAGGAAUCUUUUUUUGUUAACUAUUGUAUUUUCUUGCUUUUUACAACAUACUUGGUUGCUAGUGCCAUUGCCUUUUGAUUACUUUUCUUUGAAAUUUGUUGUAAAGGAUAUUAUUGGACACUUAAAAGUGAAGAAGCUGACCAUUAUACCAUAAUCUUUCAUAAUUCUUCCAAUCUCAUACAGAGUUAUUCCUAAAGGUGUAAAUUGCCAAGAAUUCAAAGUGAAUUUUAACUAUAGCCAGCUGGAACAAUUCUAAAAUUUAGCAGUUUUUCGUUUGGCUAUUUUGGCCCAAAAUUAAAAAUUCACUCUGACAACACUUUCAGUUCUUGACAAUUCCUGCUUCAGUGAAUAACAGUAUAUUUGAUUAGAUAAAGCUGAGUGUGGUGCUUUAUCUCAAUCUCUAAGGAGGGUGGGAAGAUUUGUAACUUUGUAUAGGGAAACGGUGUCAUUUUUAUUACGAGUAGUAUUUAUAUUAGUGGCCUCUCUGUGUAGCAUUGUAAAAUGCAUACAUACAAGUAAAAAUCUAAUUUCAGUGCAAGAGAGAGGAUAGUUUUAAGCUCUAUUUUCAGACUUAAUGCAUCAGAUCAGUCAGGUAAAACCAUGUAAGUAAUAAAGAGCCAAUACAUGUUAAAGGAUCAUUAUAGGGUCAGGAACACAAACCUGUACUCCUGACCCCAUAGUGCUAAACCCACCAUAUAGGUGGCUUGGCCCCCCUAUAAAAGUUUAAAACGCACCUUAUUUCCAGCGCAGCGAGUGUCUGCAGGCACUGGCUCCGCCCCCUUUGUGACAUCAAAAUUGCUGAUUUUUAGCCAAUCCAAUGCUUUCCCAAAGGGAAAGCAUUGGAUUGGCUAAAAUCGGCAUGGGGCGGAGCCAAAUGCUGUUUUGGCCAAUCAGGACCUCCUCAUAGAUCCAUUGAAUCAAUGCAUCUCUAUGAGGAAAAUUCAGUGUCCCCAUGCAGAAUGUGGGGCAGCUGAAGGGCAGGCCUGCUUUCUGUGCAGCCCUGAAACAGGAAGCACCUCCAGUGGCCACUUGGAGGUGUCCCUAGGGCAAUGUAAACACUGCUUUUUCUCUGAAAAGGCAGUGUUUACAUGAAAAUGCCUGAAGGCAAUGAUUAUACUCACUAGAAUAACUACAUUAAGCUGUCCCUUUAAUGAAUGUCUUAAUGUCAUGUACCCACCGGGUAUCUCUAAAACACUUUGAGCCAGGUGAAGACAUUCAAACCGUGCAUUGUUUAUGGGCAGGUACGUGCACAGGUAAAGUUAGCCAUACCCCCAGAACAUGGGUAAACCAGAAGAGGUAUUGAAGAGCAUUACUUGUAUGUACGGCAGAAUAAAACACAGGAAAUAUGACAUAUUUUGUAAUAAGAGAAAGAUACAGAUUUUCCUUUAAUUGGUUACCUAAGGUUUGUAUUGCGUCACUGUAACAAAAUGAUGAGAAAAUGCAAAAUCCCUCAGGAUUAACAAAUAGGAAUCAACACACUCUUCUGGUGUUAACAUCUCUGACCCCUGCUAGUACAAUGCUGCAGUUCCUUGGAACCACUUAAAACUCUGCGUCCUCUAUGGCAUUAUAUUCAUAGUCCAGAUGAUAUACUAACCAUCCAGUCUGUCGCUUUCCUCACUUUUAAAAUAAAUAUAUCCUUGGGCAGCGGAAGUGUCAUUGCUGUCACAAGCUUUACUGCAACAGUAUUUGAAAAUGGCAAGGGAGUCUGUGGUCACUUGCACAGAUGACUUGCAAAUUCUGGUCAGGGCUGGCCAAUCUAUCAUUAUAGUAAAUUUUGUCAGGAACAGUGUUUAGGACAAUCAAUUUUAGCAAAAUGUCUCUUCUCUACGUAUUUUAUAUUACCUGAUUUGUACAAGUCUACUUUCAUGAUAUCUUUCAGUCUUGAAGGCCCAUGUUUGCUACGCAGUGUGGUAUUAGAAGCAGGUAACUGUUGGAAGAACCAUUCAAGAGAAAAUUUGACCAGGUUUGUCAGGAGGUCUCAUGGAAGAGGACCACAUAGUGAUUUCAUUUUACUUUGGUCCAUCGCAGUAGAUGGGUUACAAUAGAAUACCUGUAGCCUUUAAUUAUUAUCUUGUGCACCCAGGCUGUGCUAUAAUUCUAAUCUUCUGCAGUUUUUAAAUCUGAUUUAAAUAUUUGGAAAAUCACUAAGAUGUACAAUUGAUGAGUGAUUUUCUAGGCAUCGUAUUAAAACAACAAAUCAACAUCACAUUUUCCAAGUAAAUUUGAGAUAUUGCUAUUGCUCAGAGAACUAUAUUGUAAAUUGAAGUAUGAUCCUCAGGACUGAGGGGUUAUAACAGCCUUGUAUAACAUUUUGUUAAAUUA
Molecule: non-coding RNA, 16889 nt
Organism: Pelobates cultripes (western spadefoot toad)
Lineage: Eukaryota; Metazoa; Chordata; Amphibia; Anura; Pelobatidae
Source: the annotation of a GenBank genome assembly